GCCUCAAAUUCCUGACAAGUGUUAAGGACGUGUUAAUCCAACAUCCACCCACAUCGUAGACGAAGGCAGUCACCUACCUAUGUUCUUCAUUCUUGCCUAUUUAUUGUACGAUGCGACGACACGCGUUAGCCGCCAUGUCUUCUGGGUUGGAAGAUGGGAUGAUCCUUAUAUAUGGACUUCGACUGCAUAUUUCAAGUUUGGAAUAGAAGUAUUAAUACGUACCUCUCCGUAACGGCGGUGCUACCGUCCAGGCGCAGAUACUGAUACCUCCUGAUGGUGAGGUAGGGCUCGAGGAUGUCCAGCAUCAUCGUGAACUGACUGAAGAUGAGCACCCGGUGGCCGCCCGCCUUCAGCUUCGGCAGCAUCUCGUCCAGCUUUUGGAACUUUCCAGAGUCCAGGAUCAGCGACUCCGGUAUCGUGUGCUGUUUGCACUGGGAGACGCGGCAGCAGUUAGUAUCGGACUAGUGACAGUGACAGUGAAUCGGGCUAGUGACAGUGACAGUGACAGUGGCGAAAUUCGGAGUUCGCUCUUUUCCUAAAUGUCGGUAGCACUAUGUCAACUUUGACGGGAUUUAUUUAUUUACCGCGGUUGACGCCGCGGGGCGAAGCUAGUCUAAAAAAAGUAGCCUAAGUUGAUUAUAUGAUCAGAUACCUAUCAGUGAAAGUCCCGUCAAAAUCGGUCCAGCCGUUCCAGAGAUUAGCCGGAACAAACAGACAGACAAACAUUGUAAAAAAAUAUAUUUUAGUGUAUGUACCGUAUAUAUGUUCAUAUGCAUGUAGUAAAAAGUUAUUUCAAUAUUACAAACAGACACUCCAACUUUAUUGAUAUGUAUAGAUAUGCUUUUGUCAGCUAGUCCUGUGUCUAUAUUAAUGUAUGUAUGUAUGUAUAUAUGAUGGAAUUUUCAAAAUAAAUUUCACCGCAAAACUUUUGAUUGAUUCGGUUAAAAAAAUUUUACUCGGUUUUCAUAUAUGUCUUUUUUUAUUAAUUUUUUAUUUACAUACAUUAAUUGGUGGGCAUUCAAUAUAUGUACGUAUACAAAUUGACGCGCGAAAGAACUUAAAGAUAGGUCAGUAUAUGCGGGUAGAUUCAAUUCAACGGUAGCUAUUAACAUGUUAAUGGUCUACUAAUAUAUAGACACGUGGCCCUUCCAACAGAGCUGAGCAGCAUAUCCAUACCCAGACAAUAGACCGGACGGUGAUGUCUUGCCUAUUUGAAGGGGGGAAUCAGACCACUGAUCUUAAUUACUGGUGGUAGGACCUCUUGUGAGUCCGCGCGGGUAGGUACCACCGCCCUGCUUAUUUCUGCCGUUAAGCAGUAAUGCGUUUCGGUUUGAAGGGUGGGGCAACCGUUUAACUAUACUUGAGACCUUAGAAUUUAUAUCUCAAGGUGAGUGGCGCAUUUACGUUGUAGAUGUCUAUGGGCUUCAGUAACCACAUAGAACCAGGUGGGCUGUGAGAUCGUCCACUCUUCGAAGCAAUAAAAAAAAAGU
Bombyx mori (domestic silkworm) is the source of this 1490-nucleotide long non-coding RNA. RefSeq lists it as uncharacterized. The record is from RefSeq and is a predicted model, not a curated record. NCBI's taxonomy places the organism in Eukaryota, Metazoa, Arthropoda, Insecta, Lepidoptera, Bombycidae. The transcript is spliced from 3 exons.